UCUUUGCUUUUCAUAUGACUCAUUAACAAUUCACAACUUCUAUAAUUGAAACUCCUUCAUGCUGUUUGGAAAGCCUUGCCUUAACACUUAACAUUUGAGACAAAGACAAUAUACAGUUUAGAAGAAAAGUAAACAUUUAAAUAUUAUACAUUAAGAGCAUCUGUGUCUUUAAAUAAAAGCUAAAUAUUCUAAUUACUCUAAAUGAAGUGAGGAAACAGCCUAAACCCUUCCUCAUCAUGCUGUAAUGUUUUAUGAAGAAUUUUAUAUCCCAUGUGUUGUGCUGUCAUAUCCUUCUGAUAUCAAUAUGGAUGUGAAACAGUUCAUGAAUUUUGAGUGUACCGC
Molecule: long non-coding RNA, 342 nt
Filed under: Homo sapiens (human)
Lineage: Eukaryota; Metazoa; Chordata; Mammalia; Primates; Hominidae
Description: HSALNT0078008
Source: RNAcentral